Molecule: ribosomal RNA, 986 nt
Filed under: uncultured cyanobacterium
Lineage: Bacteria; Bacillati; Cyanobacteriota
Description: bacterial SSU rRNA
Rfam family: Bacterial small subunit ribosomal RNA
Source: RNAcentral
GACGGUACUUGAGGAAUAAGCCACGGCUAAUUCCGUGCCAGCAGCCGCGGUAAUACGGGAGUGGCAAGCGUUAUCCGGAAUUAUUGGGCGUAAAGCGUCCGCAGGCGGUCUUGAAAGUCUGUUGUUAAAACGUGGAGCUCAACUCCAUUUCAGCAAUGGAAACUACAAGACUAGAGUGUGGUAGGGGCAGAGGGAAUUCCCGGUGUAGCGGUGAAAUGCGUAGAUAUCGGGAAGAACACCAGUGGCGAAGGCGCUCUGCUGGGCCAUAACUGACGCUCAUGGACGAAAGCCAGGGGAGCGAAAGGGAUUAGAUACCCCUGUAGUCCUGGCCGUAAACGAUGAACACUAGGUGUCGGGGGAAUCGACCCCCUCGGUGUCGUAGCUAACGCGUUAAGUGUUCCGCCUGGGGAGUACGCACGCAAGUGUGAAACUCAAAGGAAUUGACGGGGGCCCGCACAAGCGGUGGAGUAUGUGGUUUAAUUCGAUGCAACGCGAAGAACCUUACCAGGGUUUGACAUCCUGCGAAUCCCUUGGAAACGAGGGAGUGCCUUCGGGAGCGCAGAGACAGGUGGUGCAUGGCUGUCGUCAGCUCGUGUCGUGAGAUGUUGGGUUAAGUCCCGCAACGAGCGCAACCCACGUCUUUAGUUGCCAGCAUUUAGUUGGGCACUCUAGAGAGACCGCCGGUGAUAAACCGGAGGAAGGUGUGGAUGACGUCAAGUCAUCAUGCCCCUUACAUCCUGGGCUACACACGUACUACAAUGCUACGGACAAAGGGCAGCAAACUCGCGAGAGCUAGCAAAUCCCAUAAACCGUGGCUCAGUUCAGAUCGUAGGCUGCAACUCGCCUACGUGAAGGGGGAAUCGCUAGUAAUCGCAGGUCAGCAUACUGCGGUGAAUACGUUCCCGGGCCUUGUACACACCGCCCGUCACACCAUGGAAGUUGGCCACGCCCGAAGUCGUUACUCCAACCCUUGUGGAGGAGGACGC